RNAcentral lists this ribosomal RNA (499 nucleotides) under uncultured bacterium. RNAcentral describes it as "partial 16S ribosomal RNA". It matches the Rfam family "Bacterial small subunit ribosomal RNA", at positions 31 to 523 of the family's 1533-position model. The record is from RNAcentral.
AUAGAACGCUGGCGGUAUGCUUAACACACGCAAGUCGAACGAUGAGAAAGAGCUUGCUCUUUCGAUUAGUGGCGGACGGGUGCGUAACGCGUAGGAAUCUACCUAUUAGUGGGGGACAACUUAGGGAAACUUAAGCUAAUACCGCAUACGCCCUACGGGGGAAAGAAGGGGAUCGCAAGACCUUUUGCUAAUAGAUGAGCCUGCGUAGGAUUAGCUAGUUGGUGGGGUAAAGGCUCACCAAGGCGACGAUCCUUAACUGGUUUGAGAGAAUGAUCAGUCACACUGGAACUGAGACACGGUCCAGACUCCUACGGGAGGCAGCAGUGGGGAAUAUUGGACAAUGGGCGAAAGCCUGAUCCAGCAAUACCGCGUGUGUGAAGAAGGCCUUAGGGUUGUAAAGCACUUUCAAUUGGAAGGAAAACCUCGAAGCUAAUACCUUCGAGUUUGACAUUACCUUUAGAAGAAGCACCGGCUAACUCCGUGCCAGCCGCCGCGGUAA